RNAcentral lists this unclassified non-coding RNA (230 nucleotides) under Hevea brasiliensis (rubber tree). Lineage: Eukaryota; Viridiplantae; Streptophyta; Magnoliopsida; Malpighiales; Euphorbiaceae. The record is from RNAcentral.
AGAAAAUAGUGGAAGAAUGGUAAUGCCAGCAUGGCCACCAAUAACAGGCACAUUAACCUCGGCUACUGGAACAUUUGCUUUCCCAGCGUAGAAGGUCUUAGCUCUGACAACAUCUAGAGUAGUAACACCAAACAAUUUCUUCUCAUCGUAAGUACCAGCUUUCUUGAAAACCUCAGCAGCAAUUGGGACAGUUGAGUUGACGGGGUUACUGAUCAUGUUAAUGAGUGCAU